GGAAUGAAUACUGUGUACCCAGAAAACAGUAAACCUUCAGCUGCAGACCACUGACAGAAAUCUGUAGACCAUCAGUGUGGGAAACCUCAGCUUUAAGCUCUAAAUGAUUCAACAUUUGUUCCCUCUGAUGACACCGCGAAUCUGGGAAUGAAGAACUUCUUAGAGCUGAUUGGAAAUGGCAUUGCAGAGCUGAAACUUAACUGGAGGAAAUAUAUCUCCUGAAGAAGAAAAUAUAAUGCACUGUAAGGAUCUGUCUUCUGGUGAAAAAUUCAAGCCUAGAGAAAACUUGUCUGCUUUGUUAGGAAGAAUGGGUUGGACAAUUUUCUUCAAUUCCAAAGGAUAUCUGAAUGCCAUGCUGAGCUUAAUCUCUGCAGCAUGCUCUGUGCUUCUCAUCUCUUCCUGAUGCACUGCAUGGUUAUUCUGAAGGGAAGGAUAAAGAAACUGGCCACCAAGAUGGUAAUCACUAGUGGAAAUGAAGAAGAUAAAGGCAGUCAAGAAAAGGAAAGCAAAGAAGAAACCAUCUUGGCAAUGCUUGGAAUUAUUGGGACAAUUCUGAACCUCAUUGUGAUCAUUUUUGUGUAUAUUUAUACAACGUUGUAAACUAGAAGGCAUGCAAAUAGACCAGAUAAAAUGGCCAUUAAGAGUGACAACAAACAUUGCUGACUAUUGACAAGUUCUUUAAUCAGAAUUGACUCUGUAUUAUAUUAACACAUCAUAAAAGCACUGCCUGAAGGCAGCGAAGACUGAAGCACAAUUAAUUUAACAAGACUUUUUCACACAGUAAUAAGCUUAACUCUUCUUCCUGCCCUCUCCCUUUCUGUUUGGUUUUCAGUUUGGGGGAGAAUGACUGCAGUUAUAUAAGUUGUAGCUUUGAAGAAAUCCACCAGGGAUAUGUUGUUUUAAAACAAUAAAAAAAAAAAAGAAAAGAAAAUAAAAUACA
Molecule: long non-coding RNA, 940 nt
Filed under: Zonotrichia albicollis (white-throated sparrow)
Lineage: Eukaryota; Metazoa; Chordata; Aves; Passeriformes; Passerellidae
Description: lncRNA (ENSZALG00000003820.1)
Source: RNAcentral